AAAAGGAUUCAAUUCUUUCUCCCAAAAAAUAAUAGUUGAUUCUCCUUUUGUUCUUAACCCUAGAAAUCAAACCUCUAUCAUCAAACUUACCAACAAUAACUAUCUUGCUUGGAAAUUUAAAGCUAUCUAUGUGAUUCAAGGAUAUGAACUUGAAUACAAAACUCAACUACAAAUGCUCAAGAAGGGAGGUUUGUUGAUGAAAGAUUAUCUAACUAAAGUCAAGAAUAUGAGGAAUGUCCUCCAAUCCCCAUCAUAAUGCAUCCCAAGCAUUGAAGGAUGCUAAUGACCGCUGGACGAAGGCCAAUGACAAGGCCCGAGUCUAUAUCUUGGCAAGUCUACCUGACGUUCUUACUAAGAAACAUGAUGCCAUGAUGUUUGUAAGUUAGAUCAUAGAGUCUGUCCAAGAGAUGUUUGGACAAUCGUCCAUUCAGAUUUGACACGAGGCCCUCAAGUACAUUUACAAUGCGUGCAUGAAGAAAGGUCAGUCAGUGAGAGAAUAUGUUCUCGACCUGAUGAUCCAGUUCAAUGUUGUUGAAAUGAAUGAAAUGAUCAUCGAUGAGCAGAGUUAGGUGUUCUUUAUUUUAGAAUCUUUUUCAAAGAGUUUUCUUCAAUUCCACAGCAAUGCAGUUAUGAAUAAAAUAUAGUACACCAUAACUACCCUCCUGAAUGAGUUAUAGACUUAUCAAUCCCUUAUGAAAAGUAAGGGGCCAGUAGAAAAAGAGGCAAAUGUUGCCCAUUCCAAAAAGUUCCACAAGGGUUCAUCCUCGGGAACUAGGCCUGCUCACUCAUCUUCUGGUUCUAAGAAGAUCCAGAAAAAGAAAGGAGGGAAGAGGAAGACUCCCGCUGCUGGGAAAGACAAAGGUAAAGGCAAGGUGGCUGACAAGGGUAAGUGCUUUCAUUGAAUUAUGGAUGGUCACUGAAAAUGCAAUUGCCCUAAGUACCUUGCCAAAAAGAAGAAAGACAAUAAGGGAAUUAGUUCCUUCCUACAGCUCGAAGAGGUUGAAAUGACACUCAAGGUUGGAACGGGAGACGCCAUUUUAGCUCUUCCAAUGG
Long non-coding RNA from Benincasa hispida (wax gourd), 1053 nucleotides. RefSeq lists it as uncharacterized. Lineage: Eukaryota; Viridiplantae; Streptophyta; Magnoliopsida; Cucurbitales; Cucurbitaceae. The record is from RefSeq and is a predicted model, not a curated record.